CCCUUAGAUGUUCUGGGCUGCACGCGCGCUACACUGAAGCGUUCAACGAGUAUUCACCUUGCCCGGGAGGGUUGGGUAAUCUUUUCAAAACGCAUCGUGAUGGGGAUAGAUUAUUGCAAUUAUUAAUCUUCAACGAGGAAUUCCUAGUAAGCGCGAGUCAUCAGCUCGUGCUGAUUACGUCCCUGCCCUUUGUACACACCGCCCGUCGCUCCUACCGAUUGAGUGCUCAGGUGAAUAAUUCGGACUGCAGCAAUGUUUGGAUCCCGAACGUUGCAGCGGAAAGUUUAGUGAACCUUAUCACUUAGAGGAAGGAGAAGUCGUAACA
RNAcentral lists this ribosomal RNA (325 nucleotides) under uncultured eukaryote. Its description in RNAcentral is "partial 18S ribosomal RNA". It matches the Rfam family "Eukaryotic small subunit ribosomal RNA", at positions 1470 to 1796 of the family's 1831-position model. The record is from RNAcentral.